RNAcentral lists this transfer RNA (67 nucleotides) under Riukiaria holstii. RNAcentral's name for it is "tRNA-Val". Lineage: Eukaryota; Metazoa; Arthropoda; Diplopoda; Polydesmida; Xystodesmidae. The record is from RNAcentral.
CAUAUUGAAGUUUGUUUAUGAAUUUUUCUUUUACACUGAAAGGGUCUCUUAUUGAGUAAUAUGAAAG